Molecule: ribosomal RNA, 484 nt
Filed under: uncultured bacterium
Lineage: Bacteria
Description: partial 16S ribosomal RNA
Rfam family: Bacterial small subunit ribosomal RNA
Source: RNAcentral
AUUGAACGCUGGCGGCAUGCCUAACACAUGCAAGUCGAACGGCAACGCGGAGAUGUGUGCGGCGGCGAGGUGCGUACGGGGGAGUAAUACACCGGUCCGUACCCUACUGUGCUGGAUAACUAGACCUAAUAUUAGCUAAUACCGCAUACGACCAGGGUUUCAACGGGAGGGAUGGCAAGCCUCCGAGCAGCUGGAUCGGGCGGUGUCGGAUUAGCAAGGUGGUGGGGUAAAGGCGCACCAAGGCGAUGAUCAGUAGCUGGUCUGAGAGGAAGAGCAGCCACACUGGAAGUGAGACACGGCCCAGACUCCUACGGGAGGCAGCAGUGGGGAAUCUUGCACAAAGGGGGCAAGCCUGAUACAGCAAUGCCGCGUGUAUGAAGAAGGCCUUCGGGUUGUAAAGUACUUUUGGCCGGAAGGAAGUAAAGCUGGUUAAUACCUGGCGUGAAUGACGGUACCGGAAGAAUAAGCACCGGCUAACUACGUG